Molecule: ribosomal RNA, 472 nt
Filed under: uncultured bacterium
Lineage: Bacteria
Description: SSU rRNA
Rfam family: Bacterial small subunit ribosomal RNA
Source: RNAcentral
AGGAUGAACGCUGGCGGCGUGCCUAACACAUGCAAGUCGAACGUCCUGUCUCGCAAGAGGCAGGGAGUGGCGGACGGGUGAGUACCACGUGGGUCAUCUACCGUGAGGUGAGGAAUACCGGCGAGAAAUCGCCGACAAGACCGCAUAGGCUCGAUGCAAGUCGAGCAAAGCUCUUUCGAGAGAGGGAGCGCCACACGAGGAGCCUGCGCCCGAUUAGCUAGCUGGUGGAGUAACGGUUCACCAGGGCGACGAUCGGUAGCUGGUCUGAGAGGACGAUCAGCCACACUGGGAUUGAGAACGGCCCAGACUCCUACGGGGGCAGCAGUGAGGAAUUUCGUCAAUGGGGGCAACCCUGAACGAGCAACGCCGCGUGCAGGAAGAAGGUUUCGGAUCGUAAACUGCUUUUCUCGGGAAGAGAAUGGACGGUACCCGAGGAAUCAGCCCGGCUAACGUACGUGCCAGCAGCCGCGGU